This 365-nucleotide ribosomal RNA is filed under the name Paravaejovis confusus. RNAcentral's name for it is "partial 16S ribosomal RNA". The record is from RNAcentral. Lineage: Eukaryota; Metazoa; Arthropoda; Arachnida; Scorpiones; Vaejovidae.
UUGUCUUUUAAUUAAGGACUGGAAUGAAAGGUUUGACUAUGUAUUUCUGUCUUAUAAUAAUAUUUUGAAAUUUAUAUUUUAGUAAAAAAGCUAAAAUUAUCUAUAGGGACGAGAAGACCCUAUCAAGUUUUACAAUCCAGAAUUUAUUUUCAAAUUAAAUUUUAAAUUGUUUUGCUGGGGCAGCAGAUAAAAAUUUUUUAUUUUAAAAUUAUGAUAAAUAAAUCUUGAAAAAUCAAAAAAUUUUUAAUUAAAAAUAAAUUACUGUAGGGAUAACAGCAUAAUUUUUUUAGAGAGUUCUUAUCAUCAAAAAAGUUUGUGACCUCGAUGUUGGAUUAAAAUUCCUAAUUCGUGCAAUAAUGAAAUAA